This is a non-coding RNA of Notechis scutatus (mainland tiger snake), 3199 nucleotides long. The record is from RefSeq and is a predicted model, not a curated record. Lineage: Eukaryota; Metazoa; Chordata; Lepidosauria; Squamata; Elapidae.
UUUCUGAGCAGCAGUAUGAAUCUAGUGCAGAUACUGAAAAUUUUCUUCUUUCAGGGUCAUGAUCCUAAAGAACCAGAACAAUUGAGAAAACUGUUUAUUGGUGGCUUGAGCUUUGAAACAACAGACGACAGCCUAAGAGACCACUUCGAAAAAUGGGGCGCACUCACAGAUUGUGUGGUGAUGAGAGACCCACAGACAAAACGCUCUCGAGGCUUUGGUUUUGUGACCUAUUCUUGUGUGGAAGAAGUAGAUGCUGCAAUGGCAGCUCGACCACAUAAAGUUGACGGCCGUGUGGUAGAGCCAAAGAGAGCAGUUUCUAGAGAAGAUUCUGUGAAACCAGGUGCUCAUUUAACAGUAAAGAAAAUAUUCGUUGGUGGAAUUAAAGAAGAUACAGAAGAAUAUAAUUUAAGAGAUUAUUUUGAAAAAUAUGGCAAAAUUGAAACCAUUGAAGUAAUGGAAGACAGGCAGAGUGGAAAGAAAAGAGGUUUUGCCUUUGUGACAUUUGAUGAUCAUGAUACAGUAGACAAAAUUGUUGUUCAGAAAUAUCACACUAUAAAUGGACAUAACUGUGAAGUGAAGAAAGCUCUCUCCAAGCAAGAAAUGCAGACUGCAACUGCACAAAGAAGUCGUGGGAGUAGUUCAAGCAACUUCAUGGGUCGUGGAAACUUUGGAGGCAGUGGUGGAAGUUACAACAGAGGUGGAAGUUUUGGUAGUAGAGGAAGCUACGGUAGUGGAGGUGGUGGCAGCAGUAGAGGAAGCUUUGGCAGUGGCGAUGGAUAUAAUGGCUUUGGUGAUGGUGGAAACUAUGGUGGUAGCCCUGGAUAUGGUAGUCGAGGUGGUUAUGGUGGUAGCCCAAGCUAUGGAAAUCCAGGUGGUGGAUAUGGCGGAGGAGGUGGAGGCUAUGAUGGUUAUAAUGAAGGAGGAAGCUUUGGAGGCAACUAUGGUGGCAGUGGAAGCUACAAUGAUUUUGGCAACUACAGUGGACAGCAGGCCUCAAGUUAUGGACCCAUGAAAGGAAGUGGCAGUUUCAGUGGCAGAAGUUCAGGCAGUCCCUAUGGUGGUAGCUAUGGAUCAGGUGGAGGAAGUGGUGGCUAUGGUGGAAGAAGAUUCUAAAAACUAGUGGGAUAAUGAUUGUUGAAGAAACCUCUGUGACCAGAGGUGGAUAUCUUACUGGAAAACUUGCUUGGUAAGAAUGUGUACAACACUGAUGUUUCUUUUAUUGUAUUCUGAGCUCUGAAAAUUAGAGUUUUGGAGAAAACAACAAACUGGGAAAAUGUGAAAUAUAUUGAAUAUUUAUUACUGUAUUCAAAUCAAUGUGGAUGGGCUUAUUAAAUCAUCUAAUUGGCAUUUAGGUCUAAAAUUCUACCAUCCACGGUACUUCAGACAGCUGUUAUAGAGGUGAGUGGCUUAACAAUUAGACCUUGCUGGAGAUGAAGCUUAACUUAGGAUUUUGAAGUUUUGGAGACCAUAUCUAGGUGGGGUGGGGGGUGGGGGUCAAAUAUCCACCAAUUAAUGAGAAGUAACAUUUUUAAAAAAUUCUGUCUUCAGCUAAAUUCGUGACUUGUGAAUGGCUCAAAAAAUUAUAGUGGUCUCCAGUAGGGUUCGGCAUCUUCUAUACAGUAGGUGUUAGUUAUAAUAGACAAUUUGCACGCAACAUCAAGUAUCAACAUGAAUGAAAUGGGAGAGAGGGUAAGAACUACUCUGAGCUUGAAACAAAACAUUUUCAAUACGUUGAGAUUUUUUUUCCCUGAUGAAACACCACCUUUUUUAGCAUAGGAAAAAUGGGCACUCUUUGAAUCAAGCUUUAUUACCCUGCUUGCCUAGAACAAAAAGUUAACUAGCAGAAUAUGGAAAUCAAUGGAACAAAUUAUUUUAUUUUACUUUUGGGAACUCUUAAGAACAGUGGUUGGUUGCUUUUUGCUGUUUGCAUGCUCCUGGCAUAUAGUUUCUUAAUGUUGUUACCAAAAUAUGUCGGGCAUCAUUGUAUUGUGGAAGGAUAAUUUCCCAGUGAUUUUGGUAAGAAAGGUAUAUGAUACAUUACAGAUCAUUGAACAUACCCAAUUACGUACAUAGGCAAAUAAAAAAAGCACUUUUCAUACAACUGAAAAUCCUGAUUUUAUGUGUGAUUUUUCAGUUAGAAAAGUAGCCAAUAAUAAAGCAUUGCUGGAUUCCUAUUGGUAAUGUUUCUAAUUACCAAAUUGCAGGCAAGAAAAUCAGUAACAUUCUCACCUGGAAUACUUGAUGUGCCCUCUAAAUUAAUUUUCAGGGUUGAGGCUAAAAAUGGGGAAUCUCAGCAAUCCCCAGCAAGAUGGAAAUGGGGAUGACUAAUCCUGAAGAAACAUUCGUCUGUUUCCAUAAAUUGACAUUUUUGAUUCUUCAAUGGAACAUGCAUACAACUGAUAGCUAUGAGAGCAAAAAUUGAAGCAUGUAAUAAACAAAUGCUUGUAAUAAAACACAGUUAAUCAUGAUAGUUGAUGAAUUUCAAUUCUAGUUCUGGACCAUCAUUUAUUUCUGUAUUAAGCAACUGAGUUGCAUGAUUUCUUCUAAAUUGUUACGACACAAACUUGAAGCCACUUAGAGAUGUUGGAUUCACAUUGGUCAUUUAGUUCCACAUGAAACAACAGGUUCUGUGCAAAUGUUUGGCUCUAGCCUAGGAGAUACCUCUCAGAGCUUAAGGACACAUCCUGCUAGAACAAAACUUGAGGGCAUGUUUACAGGAACAAGCACACUCACACAUUUCUGACUGAUGUGGAUUAGUAAUUUAUGUUGAUAUGUCAUUGUCCUAUGAAUUAUCUGAGAAUGAAAAAUACUAAGAUUUGUAUCACUAUUUUCCAAUGUUGUUUAAUUCGGAAACAUGAGUAAUUUUACAAUGGCAUAUUUUCAAUUUCACUGUAAAACAGUAAGCGGAUGGUUUGUAGGCAAGGGAACAAAACAGUGCCCUACCCAGGCUUUUUUUCUUAUGCAAGUCUAAAAAGAAAAGCAUGAGAUAUAAAAAGCUGAAGACCCUGAACCACAUCACUGACUUCCUUAAAACUACAGUGAAAACCCAUGAGGAUUAUAAUCAUUUCAGUGCUAUUUCAAAUAAGGUAAUAUGUUUCUUCUACCACAUAAAAGUGUGGUAUCUUGUUCAAUAAAGUUCACAAAAAUGCUAAUUUUUCUUAAUGGUAGAAAUGUAAAACAGUACUAGAUUUAAGAUGUU